ACAACUGGGAUUACCUUAGUAACGGCGAGUGAAGCGGUAAAAGCUCAAAUUUGAAAUCUGGUACUUUCAGUGCCCGAGUUGUAAUUUGUAGAAUUUGUCUUUGAUUAGGUCCUUGUCUAUGUUCCUUGGAACAGGACGUCAUAGAGGGUGAGAAUCCCGUUUGGCGAGGAUACCUUUUCUCUGUAAGACUUUUUCGAAGAGUCGAGUUGUUUGGGAAUGCAGCUCAAAGUGGGUGGUAAAUUCCAUCUAAAGCUAAAUAUUGGCGAGAGACCGAUAGCGAACAAGUACAGUGAUGGAAAGAUGAAAAGAACUUUGAAAAGAGAGUGAAAAAGUACGUGAAAUUGUUGAAAGGGAAGGGCAUUUGAUCAGACAUGGUGUUUUUUAAAUGUGCAAGUCUCUCGUGGACAUGUGCCUCUGGAAAUUAACACUGGGCCAACAUCAGUUCUGGCGGCAGGAUAAAUCAUUAAGAAUGUAGCUACCUCGGUAGUGUUAUAGCUUUUUGGAAUACUGCC
RNAcentral lists this ribosomal RNA (512 nucleotides) under uncultured Hanseniaspora. Its description in RNAcentral is "eukaryotic LSU rRNA". It matches the Rfam family "Eukaryotic large subunit ribosomal RNA", at positions 65 to 576 of the family's 3401-position model. The record is from RNAcentral. Lineage: Eukaryota; Fungi; Ascomycota; Saccharomycetes; Saccharomycodales; Saccharomycodaceae.